UUUGCCUUUAUAGUUGUGUGAUAUGCAGGUACUAAAGUUGCAAGAUAUGUUGAAUGUAUAUGCGCACAUAUGUUUUUGAAUAUAAUAUAAUUGUUAAUCUUUUCUCUCUCUUGGUUCUACCAAAGACAUUAAAGUAAAGAUACAAAAACUAUUCAAAAUGCAGACAUAUAUACAGGACUCCUACUUCAUGUUGGUAAUUAUGGGCAAAAAUUAUUAAUUUAUUAAUUAAUUAAGAGCUAGUAAACUGAAAUAGUUUAUAUGUCACCAGCAUUUCAACCUGUUGCCAUUUAUUGAGUAAUUAUUAACUUACUAAAUUCUUACACAAGUGUGUAUAUGUAAACCUAAUACUGUUUCUGAAUUAUAGCAAAUCCAGUCUGACAUCAACAUCCUGAUCAUUUUCUUCUAUUUCUAGGAAGAACAUAAGUGUCAUGGCCAUGCCAGUGACACAGGUCACAUCCUGGUGGUGGUUCCCCAUCUCUCCAGAGAUGCUGCUGGGGUGGCAUAGCCGGUUAGAAGGAAGAAGAUCUCUGAGGGUUUUUGAAUUGAAUGUGAAGCUGUGGCAUCCAGUUCCACUUCCUGUGCCUCUGUCUCCAUUUCUUUAAGACGUGUUUCACCUUCUCUUUCCUCACCUGAUUUAAGCAGGACUCUAGAAGACUUGAUGACUGCGUUUGUACAAGCAAGAAGACUCUCUGAAGACAACCAAGCUGCACCAUUGUGUUUUAGAAUGUCCUGUGAAAAAGACAACGUUAAUGUCAAUGUACUGCAAGCAGACUAAGCGGAAUAAUAACGAUUAUCUCACACCAAUCCUGUGGUAUUGUUAUCUUUAUAAUAUGGGGAAGAGAGCAAGCCACAGGUGGUUCUGAUCACCUUCCCAAGAUCGGUCACCUGGCUCCUUAGUGGAUGGUUACUACAAGAUAGUGGAUAUAGUUCCCUGUGCUAUACGUAUCCUCCUUCUGCCCGGAGUGGGGGAGGAUUGUUGCCAUAUCCUGACUGUCGUCUGCCGUACACAGUGGGACGUCGCUCCCUGACCUUUGCCUCUGACGGCAGCCCCGCACUCAUGUCUCAUCUGACUGCAUGGGGAUGGCUGGCGAAUACAGACAAAACACACGGGCCUGGAUUAUCUAUCAGAUACUUGAGUGUUAUCUGGUUGGGUAAGACAAGCAUAUCUCCAAUUGAUCAUCCCUAAACAAUUACAGACACAGGCUUUAGAAAUAUUAACUCUGGAACGGGCUUGUGAAUUGAACAUGACAGUUACCUAGAAGAGUUUGGUUGGGGCCUGUGGCAGCAGCAAAAUGAGUCCCCUUUGACUUCUGGUCCCAGCUAUGGAAGGGGGCAGAGCAACGAUACAGUGUGAUGGAGCAACAGCUAUAUGCCAGCGCCAAUGUGUUCCCGCAGGUGAAAGACACUACAAAAGGCCCACCCGUGUCAUCAAGCAGCGCAGAAAACGUGUGCAACAUGCAGAACCCCCGUGGACAGCGACAGCAGCCAAGGAGCCCACUUUGCCGGCCGUGCAGUUGAGGAUGGGCUGAUGAAAGUGCCAUACGCGGGUGUCUCCACCUGCCUGACAGCCCCUCUGCUGCCGGGCUAACGGACGGCUUCCGCAACAGUUCAGAUGGAAACCCGCUCUCUCAACAUGUGGACUAGAGGCUGACUCGGGCCUCCGAACUAUAACUAAACGUCCCAGGUGCAGUCGUCCCAGUGCCUGCGCCGUGUUAACCCAGAGGCAGCUAGUCAACACCACCUGAGUUCAGCUGUUGACCACCAAAGGACUGGUACCAGCUAUCAGUCAGGACAAUAACUCUCUUUUGCCCUUGCCACAGCAUCUGCCGCCGGGGGGAGCACACUAGGAAAAGGCCCUGGGACUGGCAGAGUUCCAGACAUUUUUGGAGUCAGAAAUGGACAAGAUGGCACCCACACUGGGCCCGGUACCUGUGACGCAUUUACCCAGAGGAGGAAUUAUCCGUGUGGCAUGCCGGCUUAGAACUCAGACCGCCACGCGAGAACCCCCCCACUCUGCUUGAGGAGCGAGCUCUUCACAGUAACUGUCCUCAGCACUCCUCGGAGAUGCCUUUCUCUCACUGAGGCAAAGCUGUGCUAAGGAUUUUGAUACUGCAAAUGCCAGGCCUUUUGAAGACUCCAAAUAACCUUUUCUGUCUAGGUAUAAACAUGUGUUUUCCUUCAAAAAUAUCCCCUAUCAACACAAACUCUCCAAACUUUUAGUUUCCUGCUAAAGCAGGAUAAAGUCAGCUUCUUCUGAGCCACCAGUUGUAACUUGUAAAUGAACUGAUCUUUCUGGUAUGAUGGGUUACCAGUUCCAUCAUCAUCAUCUCUUGUCCACUGACCAGAGAGGUUGUGGAUGACAGUUGUAUCUGGCAUUCUAUAUGGUUUCCCUAUCAACUCACUUCCGAGGCCCAGCAUUUGGCAGAGAACGCUCCACAUGAUGGAUUGUUAUUUUCAUCACUAUUGAGCUGAGCAUGCUUUUUAUCUGCAUUAUUUCAUUUAAUCCUUACAGUGAUCCUCUAAAGUACAAAGAAACUUGAAUGACCAGGACGUGGUCAUUACAGACAGAAGAAACGGCUUGAACCAGUGAACUGAUGCCCGAGCUCUUGUUCUUAACCACUUCAUUUAUGCUUCUCCAUGAAUGGUCUUUCUUAUAAUCAAAAUUAUACAAUGGAUUUUAAAAAUCUGUUAGAAGAGUAAAUUCUAAGAACAUAACAACUAACUCGUGAUCCAAAUGGAAGUUUUUCAUUAGUGUACGGAAGAUAGAGCUAGAGAGGUGUGUACAUGUACUUCUAAUUUACAAGUUGGUACACAAGAGCAGAAAACACAGUGAUAAAAGACUACUUCUGUCUUUUUAGACCCUUAGCAUCUUCUUCUACCACCUAACUGUUUCGAUGCAUAUUAUGCAGUGUCCUUCAGCUUCCCUACCACAGUCAAAUGGUUCUGAGCAGCUCUUUUGAGUGUAUGUGAUGAGGUUUAUUUUGAAUAAAGGGUGAAUGUGACUUUCGUUUUUCCCUGUGAUAUAUAAACACGAAUCAGUAAGGAUUUCUCUUGAAACUUCUCCAAGGAAUGGCAUGCAUUUCCAAUUAACCUUAUAACUUUUAACUGUUUGGCUAGAUUCCAUAACUGAUAGAUGUUAUUUUAAUUCAGAUAGAGAGAGAAUGCUCAGGCCAGAAAAUGGGGUAUGCAUCAACUUAUAGACACAUUUUGCUCCCCUAGUCAAUCAAUGCUUUUUGAGACCCAACGUACUUUGGUUGAUCUCUGUGAGUGACUGUUAUUGUCAGUUCUUAACAAAUUGCAAAAAUGACUUGCCCUAAAAAUCCAUCAAGUUGGUGACAAAACUCGCAUAGUGUCUAGGACAUCCAGGCUAUCAAUUACCUUUCAAGGGUGCAGGUCAAUGGAAAAUCACUUAAGCCUCUAUAAAAGAUGGCUUUUAAGGAGCAGUUUGGCUGAUGGAAACUGGUGGCCUGGGAGAGAGAAAGCACCUGAAGUCUGGCUAAAGAUGUGUGAUGAAAAUGAGAAAAACAUAAGGGCAGAAAGUAAGUAAAUAUUGGGAGAAUUUUUAAAAACACAUUUCUCUUCAUUACUGCCUACACGAGAGCAUCCAAAUCCUUUCACUCAACAUUCAAGGCCUUGUACAAGUUGGUGCUAACCACUUGUCAAGUCUUAUUUCCCAGAACUGUCCCAUGUGUUUCCCGCCCUGCCAUCACACUGCAGGCUUUUUCCCAGUUACGUGGCAUACACCUUCGUGUAUAGGUGCACCUGGUGUCUUUCCUCCUCUGCCCUCACCUUAUCUGCUUAGGGCUCGCCCACACGACUUAAUUUUACCUUAAUUACCUCUUUAAAGGCCCUGUCUCCAAAUCCUGUCACAUUCUAAGGUACUGCCAAUUAGGGCUUCAACAUACAAAUUUGGGGAGGACCCAAUUCAGCCCGUAACAAUAUCCACUACCUCAUUUAUCCUCACCAGCAAUAGCUGUAGCCUCCCUGUACCUCUGCACUGUUUUCAUGGUGAGCUUCUUCAAAAUACAGCACUUUUAUGCCUACCUCUACUUCGGGCCUCCACAGUCCAGACCUCAAGUCUACUUCAGAAAGGCUCUGUUCCUUAAUGAGCGAAUAAAGACAAUGCUUCCAAAUUCUAGGAUUUCUUACAGAGUUCAAAUUGUCAAAAGCCAAGCCCCCAUGUCAGUAUAAGAAGAAAACAGAAAAGCCACCUCCUUUUUUAGCACUGAGAAAACAGGAAAAAAAAAAAGGUAAUACUUUUUUGGGGGGUUAACAGUCAUUAACAGCUUGCAUAAGGGACUUAAAAGUGCAAAUGCUGGCCUAGUUAAGAAGGAUGACUAGUACGUACUACCGAGUAUACAGCCUACACUCUGACCCUGGGACCUGUGAAAGGUACCCCUGACAUGAAUGCCUCCUUUCAUGUGAAGAAAAGUGCUAACUUUUCAAAAGGGUCUUAAUUCCAGGCCAGAAUGGAAAGCACUGUGUCUACUACAGUACAUUGACUAGAUUAGAGUUCUGCAGACUUCCUUGUUUCCACGCUCGUCAGGGGUAAGCAGGGGACUCCUAGGCAGCAUGAACACAUUAGGUUUUGCAGGUCUCACCCAUUUCUCUCUCUCUCAAAUCACUCUCAAAUCGUGCCCAGAAAAAGCAAUCCCCUGCAAUCCAAUGCAUUUCAGCACUGCAUUUGAGCUCCAGGUGGAAGACACAGUGGAUGAAACAUUCACCAUGACCUAGAUUUGGAGCUGGCCCAACGUGAAGCCUGCCGUACUUCAGAAGGGGAGUCACUAUCUCCUGUCCUCUUUUCACUCAGGUGUUGAAAAGUGGGGAAACAAUGCAAAGGUCCAAGACAUGAUCAUAUGAUACCUCCUGUCCAAACAAGAAUUAUUUCCCUUUCUUUUAUGAGGUGGGAAGAUUUGAAUCACCCCUGUGGGAAGGAUGUUUUUAAAAUGUUUUGGCAGGUGAGGGGCUGCUGAUUCUGCCCUUACCAAGUCACUGAUUAUUUCUCUCCCCCUUUCUUUUCCCUUUCACUUCCUCAGGCUUUUAAUAGGAACAGUUUAUAUAAAUAUGAUGAUGCAACUUAUGUGUGAAAAUAAAUGCAAACAGCUAUUAAAUGUUCAGGAAGUAGCAUAACCGUCUUUCAACACAAUUUCUACUGGUGAGUGUUUUUUCAUAAUUUCCCAGAUCUACUGCCAAAGAGCAUCUCCCAGAGAUCUUUGUAGCCGUGUAUGCAUCCAAACUAUGGCUGCAAGAAACCCAAGGUGCUGUAUGGAAAGGAACACUUUCAAGAUUUGAAAUUUAAGAAAUUUUUUGCCAUUAGAUGAUAGACUUUCACAUCAAUAUUUAACUAGCAAGGUUUUCAUCUUGGGGUACAUGAAUAUAUAUUUGAUUUUUGGUUCUGGAAUCUUCUAAAAAUAUAUAUGUGGGCCAGUUUGUUUCCUUGAUUUUAUUAACCAUGCCCUCUUUUCAGAAGAAUUUAGGAUGGCCAAUAGGCACAUGAAAAGAUGCUCAAACAUCGCUAAUUAUUAGAGAAAUGCAAAUCAAAACUACAAUGAGAUAUACGCUCUCACCAGUCAGAAUGGUAAUCAUCAAAAAAGUCUACAAAUAAUAAAUGCUAGAGAGGUGUGGAGAGAAGGAAACCCUCCUACACUGUUGGUGGGAAGGUAAAUUGGUGCUGCUACUCUGGAGGGUCCUUAAAAAACUAAAACUAGAGUUAACCAUAUGAUCCAGCAAUCCUACUCCUGGGCAUAUAUCCAGAAAAGAUGAAAACUUUAAUUUAAAAAGAUAAUUCGAAAAGAUACAUGCACCCUAAUGUUCAUAGCAGCACUAUUUACAAUAACCAAGACAUGGAAGCAACCUAAAUGUCCACCAACAGAUGACUGGAUAAAGAAGAUGUUACAUAUACAAUGGAAUGUUACACCGCCAUAAAAAAUGAAAUAAUGCCAUUUGCAGCAAUAUGGACAGACCUAGAAAUUAUCAUACUAAAUGAAGUAAGUCAGAUAAAGACAAAUAUCAUAUGAUAUCACUUAUAUGUAAAAUCCCCCCAAAAAUGAUACAAAUGAACUUAUUUACAAAACAGAAAUAGACUCAUACACAUAGAAAAUAAACUUAUGUGUUACUAAAGGGGAAAGGCAGGGGAGGGAUAAAUUAGUCUGGGAUUAACAGAUACACAUUACUACAUAUAAAAUAGAUAAACAACAAGGACCUACUUAUGGCACAGGGAACUAUACUCAAUAUCUUGUAAUAACCUAUAAUGGAAAAUAUGAAAAAGAAUAUACGAACAUAUGUGUGUAUAUACACAUACAUAUAUCUGAAUCACUUUGCUGUACACCUGGAACAUAACAUUGCAAAUCAACUAUACUUCAAUUUUAAAAAAUUAGUCAAUGAUGACUAUUACAGCAUCCAAAAUGCAAGGCUUUGUUAGAAGACUCUAUCAGUGCACAAAGUUAUAGGCAGUUAUGGGAAAGUAAGCAUUUUUCUUAAUGAGCCUUGAUUUCCCCCUUGCCUAUGUGUAUUGGGCUGUGAAAAUACCUAUUAGUAUUUUUUUUCCAGAUCUGUGCUGUAUAUGUGCACGUCUGCCUAGUAUGUCUCGUCCUCUCUCUCAUCACUCCUUAGAGCUCUUCCUGUUCUGUCUCUAAUUGUUGGGCAGUAAGAGAGAUGGAGGGUCAGGCUAAGCAAGUAGAGCUUGCAGAGAGCAGAAGCAGAUUUACUAACUUUGAUGAUGGCUCCUAGUGAGUCCUUACCAUACACAUGGCUGGGUUGCCAUAAAGCCAGCUGAGCCGAUCACCCUAAAUAGAUUAAAAGAUGACAUCGACAGAUUUUAAGCAGAAAUGAUUUCAUUCUCUCCUCUCACCAGUUACAUGGUUAGCUGCUUCACGCACUGAUUUGUUAUACCACAUAGGGCUGGCUCACAGUCCCUGCCAGCCUUUUGAAGUCUUGAUGGCAUCGGAAACUGACUGUCUCCUGGGAACGCGCAAGAAAGGAGGUCUGAGCUCCUCUCCUUCAAGGACACUCUCUUCAAUCCAUUAUCUCCUACUCAUGUGCAACAGUCUAGUCUAUCAAAAUAUGGUGAUUGAAUAAAAACUUUAUUUCAG
This is a long non-coding RNA of Camelus dromedarius (Arabian camel), 7091 nucleotides long. RefSeq lists it as uncharacterized. The transcript has 6 exons. Lineage: Eukaryota; Metazoa; Chordata; Mammalia; Artiodactyla; Camelidae. The record is from RefSeq and is a predicted model, not a curated record.